This 45-nucleotide non-coding RNA is filed under the name Schistosoma bovis. RNAcentral also lists the same sequence under 1 other name. Lineage: Eukaryota; Metazoa; Platyhelminthes; Trematoda; Strigeidida; Schistosomatidae. The record is from RNAcentral.
AUCUAGCUGACAUGUCCCGAAUAGGACAAAACGCGCGUUCUGGAU